Molecule: unclassified non-coding RNA, 347 nt
Filed under: soil metagenome
Description: partial contains 5.8S ribosomal RNA, internal transcribed spacer 2, and large subunit ribosomal RNA
Rfam family: 5.8S ribosomal RNA (bases 1-120)
Source: RNAcentral
GAUGAAGAACGUAGCAAAAUGCGAUAAGUAAUGUGAAUUGCAGAAUUCAGUGAAUCAUCGAAUCUUUGAACGCACAUUGCGCCCGCUGGUAUUCCGGCGGGCAUGCCUGUUCGAGCGUCAUUUCAACCCUCAAGCCCCCCGGGUCUGGUGUUGGGGAUCGGCUCUGCCUCACGGCGGUGCCGCCCCCGAAAUACAUUGGCGGUCUCGCUGCAGCCUCCAUUGCGUAGUAGCUAACACCUCGCAACUGGAACGCGGCGCGGCCAUGCCGUAAAACCCCAACUUCUGAAUGUUGACCUCGGAUCAGGUAGGAAUACCCGCUGAACUUAAGCAUAUCAAUAAGCGGAGGA